Molecule: ribosomal RNA, 301 nt
Filed under: uncultured bacterium
Lineage: Bacteria
Description: partial 16S ribosomal RNA
Rfam family: Bacterial small subunit ribosomal RNA
Source: RNAcentral
CAGUAGCCACGGUAAUACGUAGGGGGCAAGCGUUAUCCGGAAUUAUUGGGCGUAAAGAGUGCGUAGGUGGUCUACUAAGCGCGAGGUGAAAGGCAAUGGCUCAACCAUUGUUAGCCUUGCGAACUGGCAGACUUGAGUGCAAGAGAGGAAAGCGGAAUUCCUAGUGUAGCGGUGAAGUGCGCAGAUAUUAGGAGGAACACCGGCGGCGAAGGCGGCUUUCUGGAUUGUAACUGACACUGAGGCACGAAAGCGUGGGUAGCAAACAGGAUUAGAUACCCCUGUAGUCCCUGUCUCUUAUACC